This 483-nucleotide ribosomal RNA is filed under the name uncultured bacterium. RNAcentral describes it as "partial 16S ribosomal RNA". It matches the Rfam family "Bacterial small subunit ribosomal RNA", at positions 28 to 507 of the family's 1533-position model. The record is from RNAcentral.
GACGAACGCUGGCGGCGUGCUUAACACAUGCAAGUCGAACGCUGAAGCUCAGCUUUUGUUGGGUGGAUGAGUGGCGAACGGGUGAGUAACACGUGAGUAACCUGCCCCCUUCUUUGGGAUAACGCCCGGAAACGGGUGCUAAUACUGGAUAUUCACUGGUCUUCGCAUGGGGGUUGGUGGAAAGGGUUUUUCUGGUGGGGGAUGGGCUCGCGGCCUAUCAGCUUGUUGGUGGGGUGAUGGCCUACCAAGGCUUUGACGGGUAGCCGGCCUGAGAGGGUGACCGGUCACAUUGGGACUGAGAUACGGCCCAGACUGCUACGGGAGGCAGCAGUGGGGAAUAUUGCACAAUGGGCGAAAGCCUGAUGCAGCGACGCCGCGUGAGGGAUGGAGGCCUUCGGGUUGUGAACCUCUUUCGCUCAUGGUCAAGCCGCAACAAUGGUUGUGGUGAGGGUAGUGGGUAAAGAAGCGCCGGCUAACUACGUG